AGUGAACGCUGGCGGUAGGCCUAACACAUGCAAGUCGAACGGCAGCACAGUAAGAGCUUGCUCUUACGGGUGGCGAGUGGCGGACGGGUGAGGAAUACAUCGGAAUCUACUUUUUCGUGGGGGAUAACGUAGGGAAACUUACGCUAAUACCGCAUACGACCUACGGGUGAAAGCAGGGGAUCUUCGGACCUUGCGCGAUUGAAUGAGCCGAUGUCGGAUUAGCUAGUUGGCGGGGUAAAGGCCCACCAAGGCGACGAUCCGUAGCUGGUCUGAGAGGAUGGUAAGCCACACUAGAGCUGGGACACGCUCCAGACUCCUACGGGAGGCAGCAGUGGGGAAUAUUGGACAAUGGGCGCAAGCCUGAUCCAGCCAUACCGCGUGGGUGAAGGCGGCCUUCGGGUUGUAAAGCCCUUUUGUUGGGAAAGAAAAGCAGCAGGUUAAUACCCCGCUGUUCUGACGGUACCCAAAGAAUAAGCACCGGCUAACUUCGUG
This 492-nucleotide ribosomal RNA is filed under the name uncultured bacterium. RNAcentral describes it as "partial 16S ribosomal RNA". It matches the Rfam family "Bacterial small subunit ribosomal RNA", at positions 29 to 507 of the family's 1533-position model. The record is from RNAcentral.